GAUGAACGCUGGCGGCGUGCCUAAUACAUGCAAGUCGAGCGAACAGACGAGGAUCUUGCUCCUCUUACGUUAGCGGCGGACGGGUGAGUAACACGUGGAUAACCUACCUAUAAGUCUGGGAUAACUUCGGGAAACCGGAUCUACUACCGGAUAAUAUCUUUAACCUCAUUUUUCAUUAGUUAUUUACGUUUUUUCUGUCUCUUUUAGAUGUAUCCGCGCCGCAUUAGCUAGUUGGUAAGGUAACGUCUUACCAAGGCAACGAUGCGUAGCCGACCUGAGAGGGGGAUCGGCAACACGGGAAGUGAGACACGGACAAGAAGACUACGGGAGGCAGCAGUAGGGAAUCUGCCGCAAUGGGCGAAAGCAUGACGGAGCAACGCCGCGUGAGUGAUGAAGGUCUUCGGAUCGUAAAACUCUGUUAUUAGGGAAGAACAAAUGUGUAAGUAACUAUGCACGUCUUGACGGUACCUAAUCAGAAAGCCACGGCUAACUACGUG
This 497-nucleotide ribosomal RNA is filed under the name uncultured bacterium. RNAcentral describes it as "partial 16S ribosomal RNA". It matches the Rfam family "Bacterial small subunit ribosomal RNA", at positions 28 to 507 of the family's 1533-position model. The record is from RNAcentral.